Molecule: long non-coding RNA, 3394 nt
Filed under: Fragaria vesca (wild strawberry)
Lineage: Eukaryota; Viridiplantae; Streptophyta; Magnoliopsida; Rosales; Rosaceae
Description: long non-coding RNA (FVES_LNC003209)
Source: RNAcentral
AAAAAUUACAAAAAGAAAAAUCUUGCUAGUGUUAGGGUUAGGGUUACAUGGAUAUGGGUUAUAUAUAUCACAUAUGCCGCUCUUGAAUACAUACUACUCUUCAGAAAUCAAGUUCUUCAUGGAUGCUACUGGAUCCGACUGUGGAAAAGCACGUCAAGUUAAGCGACCUUUGAUUCAGUAAGUUUUACAUGUACAUCAUGAUCAUAUGUAUACACAGUCCUUGACAUACAAGUGUAUUUGGUAAUUCUCGUAUAUAUACUUGGGAAUAUAUAGACAAGAUCAAUAAUUAAGUUUGCUAUCUGUUAGCUACCUAGCUAACCUCUGGAGGUGUUAAUAUGUAACAUUAAUUUAGUGGUUGUCACCAAUCAAAAGGUGAUUAAUUAUCAAACAUGUAUAGUUAUGUAGUCUUGUCAUUUUGUACGCCAAUCUCGGAUUGAGGAGUUCCUUGUUACAAGCAAGCAAGUAAAUCCAAGGCUAGCUAGCUAGAGUGCCAUAAUAAUUAGACUUUGAUGACAGGUAGAUUUUCUUGAUAAAUUUUGUAUUAUUGCUUGAUAAAGAUUAGAUGAAAGUUCUAAGAUGAAUUAUUUUACGAACGAAUCUAUGAAAUUAAAUUAAAGGAGAAGGAAAAUGGACCUAGCUAGUAUAUUGCCGAUCAAACAUAUAUACAAGCAGAUCCAAAAGAUCGAUAUAAAAGCCAUGUUUUGCCCUCUUCUGUGCUCUCUCAACAAAAUUUCUCAACUUUCUCUAAACAAAAUAACGUACUAACCAAUCUUCUAGAAUGUUGCAUGUUGCAAACCAACACUACAGUGUUAACAAACAUAUUCGAUUCCAAGUCAAAAUUGCUUCUUUCUGUCUCCAUCGAUCUAAACUGAUCGAAUUCAUUACAUAAACGUAAACAUUAUGGAAUCAAACAGCUCCUCAUCUCUUUGUUUGUUUGAAUAAAAGGCUGUGUUUAUUUAAGUAAGUUUAAUUUGACCCCUUUUGAGCACAUAUAUAUAUACACAAAGAUAUGUUGAUGUCUCAUGUCAAGACUCAAAGACUUGUUUGCAGUAUACAAAAAAUUGUCAUCAUUUAAUCAUUCUUUUUCAUUUUCUAUAUAUCUAAUCCAUUGGUGGAACAGAUCACGUACGCAUGAACACAAUUUAGUGUCUACAUGAUAUAUAUUUAAUUAGUAGAUCUAGUAGUGGCAAAUUAAUUAAGCUUAAUAAGGUUGAAUAUUUAGAUUCGCUUUCAGGCGACUAAACGCUUUAGUAGUUGGAUUUGCAGUCGAGUGUGCUUCUGACUUUAGAAACAAACAAUCCAUAGAGAGCUAGCUGUUUGGAACUCCUUUCACAUUUGAGCUUGAAUUGGAAUCUGCAACUGUAUAUAUCUAACGUAGUCAAGUAAUAAAUUAAGAAUUCGAAGCUAGAAAACCCAAUUCCAUUUUGUGUAAAUUCACUUAGUUUGUUAGGUAAUAAAUUAACAGCUUCGAUCUGCUUAUUAGGUACGUAGUUAUACUUGAUACUGCUGCUGUAUGUUAUGUACGUUUGAUCUUGGUAGCUAGGGUUAGUGAUCUGUAUUUAGAUAUUACUAGAAGAAGAACAACAACAACAACUACUAGAAAAUGGUCAUUUGCCUAACAUUAACUAAAACGGUUAGCUUACCACUUAGUCAAACGCUAGCUAAUUAAUCAGUCGAAUAUGUAGAUGUACGUUCAUGUUGUAUACAGUAUCUUUAUGCAGUUUUUCUUUCCUAAAUCUCAUCAUCAAUACAUUCAUAUAUGAUGCAACAGAUCAAGCAUCAUUUCCUUCAACAGGAUAAUUCACCAGGUCAUGAUUAUAUUCAUGUUUAAUUUGUUCGAUAAAAUGAUAGAUGACAGCGUGCGUAUAUUCAUAUUUUCGCAGUAAAACUUGCCCGACUGUUUGGUAAACACCAGUCGCAUGAUGCAUUGCAGAAAUGUCUGAUACAUGUGUACAUAGAGUUGAAGAAUAUAUAUAUAGAUUGAGACUGGUUGCUGUGUUUCUACCGUAAGAAAUAGUAUAAAACCCUAGCUAGCUAGCCAGUUAUCAGCUUAAACUCGUAAUUCCAACUCUAAAUUAACCCCUGAUUAACUCCAAGAUGAAUGUAGCUUAUUAAAUCGAGAAACCAAGAAACAAAACCAAAGAAAAUUGCUGCAUCAUUUAGUUACUCCGUAUGUCUUACUACUUGCACAUGACUGUUUGUACUGCCUAGACCUAACAAAUGGCUAUCCAUUGAGCAAAACUCCAAUGCCAUUGUUGUCACCAUGUAGUCAGAUACUCAGAUACUCAUAUAUCGCUUACUCCUCUUUUAACAUUUACAAAGGACAAUUGAAAUGUCAACAAUCUCAAGCUACGACGUCCUCUAUCAUUCUUCAUGGGUUUUAUUAUUAUCAUUUCCUUUUAGGAUUUGCUGCAUAUAUUAUGCUCCCUCUUUCAAAAGCCACACCACUCAAUAUAUUCCCGUCGAGAUCGAUCAUAUCAUACAUGCACAUUCUCAAUUAUUAACCCACCUUUUCCUAUUGGAAGCUGCUUGUUAAUUAUUGUUGCCUCACCUUAAUUUGAUCGAUAUUGUUUUUUCGUAUAUUGCAAACUCUUCGAGUCUAUUAUUUUGUUUUUCAUCAUGACCUCUCUGACACUUAGAUUGAUCGUAUAUGCUUCUUAUAUGACAUUUCUACAUCAACAAGAUCGUUCAUAUCAAUCUCUCACAGAUCACUUGGGCGUGGCAAAACAUCACGUACCAAAAUUAAUAUUGGCUAAAAUCAUGUUGUUUUCACAUGAUCAUUGACAGCAGCUACAAAAAUAAUCAAAACGAAUUUGAUCGGGAAGUCUAUAUGGAAUUUUAUGGGCUACUAGCUGGUUAUGAUAUUCUACACGCACACGCACACAAACAGAAACGUGUAAAAGGCAGCAUUAUUGUGGGGAAAACGUAGACUGUUCAAUCGUUUUAAUUUGAAGACUGAUUUGUAUUGCAGAUCGACCAUGCAUGCAAGUUAGGCACACCCAUAUGCAAAUAACAUCUCAAAUCUAAUUGAAAAAGAUAUGAUAUAUAUAUCACUCGUACUGUAGUACACGGAUCAAUUAAAUAUAAGUCCCUGACUAAAAUUAAAAAAAAGAAAGACAAAAAAGUUGUGUAGAUGAACUUCAUUUUGCUCCUUUAGAUUUGAUAUGCAUGCAUGCAUGGAUUCGAUCAUAACACCGAUCGCUUAAGAAAACAAUACAAUUGGUAUAGAAUAAUAUAAGCUUCAUAAUACCAAUAUAUCUCAAGCAUAUACCGUAAUGCUAUUCUAAGAACGUACUACAAAUUAUUAUUAACUACGUGAUGUUGGUAAAGUUCGUUGAUCGAGCGGCCUAAUAUGGAACUCUAUGUUUAGAGUUUGAAUUCAAAUUCGUAUGCU